This 606-nucleotide long non-coding RNA is filed under the name Homo sapiens (human). Its description in RNAcentral is "HSALNT0313292". Lineage: Eukaryota; Metazoa; Chordata; Mammalia; Primates; Hominidae. The record is from RNAcentral.
UUAUGCUUUGUUAUUCCAUCCAAUACACUGAAAUACUGAAAAGUCACAGAAAACUAUUAUCAUCCUAUAUCUCUCAAUUGGAAAUGUUGUGUAAUAGAGGACAGAUAAUUGGCCUCUAUUGUUUGUUUUGCAUCUAUUUUAAGAUCUCCAUGUGAGAAGAAAAUGUAGGUGCUGGGCAACCUAAAUGGCCCUACAAGCAUGGAAUAAAUAUAGCAAGCACCAUUGAAAGCUUCCUCUGUAGAAGAGCUACGGGCUUCCCAUUGAUGGUUUCAUUAAAUCCUUACAAUAGCACCAUGAGAAAACUAAGACUUUCAGCAUCACCAGCAACAUUGUCUGCUUUUAAAGAAGCAUAGAAGCACCUCCUCAAUUACAGAUUAAGUGAGCCACGAUAGUGGAAUAAUUUUUUAAAUUGCAGUGAUUUGAGCUUUUCCAAAAAUUGCAGGAUAGUUAUUUUUUAUUUCUGUUGAGUUGAGGUAGAUAAUUUGUUUUAAAAUGCAGUGAUGCAACCGAUACGUACAUUGAAAGAGUUACUAAGGCUAUUUACAAACUUGCUAUUUUUACAACAGUUCUAGUUAUUAAAUGCACAUUAUGUGCUUGGCAUUGUCA